GGGGAAUAUUGGACAAUGGGGGCAACCCUGAUCCAGCAAUGCCGCGUGUGUGAAGAAGGUCUUCGGAUUGUAAAGCACUUUCGGCGGGGACGAUGAUGACGGUACCCGCAGAAGAAGCCCCGGCUAACUUCGUGCCAGCAGCCGCGGUAAUACGAAGGGGGCUAGCGUUGCUCGGAAUGACUGGGCGUAAAGGGCGCGUAGGCGGCUUGGUCAGUCAGAUGUGAAAUUCCUGGGCUCAACCUGGGGACUGCAUUUGAGACGGCCAGGCUUGAGUUCGAAAGAGGGUCGCGGAAUUCCCAGUGUAGAGGUGAAAUUCGUAGAUAUUGGGAAGAACACCGGUGGCGAAGGCGGCGACCUGGUUCGGUACUGACGCUGAGGCGCGAAAGCGUGGGGAGCAAA
Molecule: ribosomal RNA, 399 nt
Filed under: uncultured bacterium
Lineage: Bacteria
Description: bacterial SSU rRNA
Rfam family: Bacterial small subunit ribosomal RNA
Source: RNAcentral